RNA transcript from Trichechus manatus latirostris (Florida manatee), 5537 nucleotides. It is a transcript of the gene named vascular endothelial zinc finger 1, with no coding region annotated. The record is from RefSeq and is a predicted model, not a curated record. Lineage: Eukaryota; Metazoa; Chordata; Mammalia; Sirenia; Trichechidae. The transcript has 2 exons.
CAAGAGGAAGGACCGGAUGACUUACCAUGUGAGGUCUCAUGAAGGAGGCAUCACCAAACCCUAUACUUGCAGUGUUUGUGGGAAAGGCUUCUCAAGGUACUGGGUUUUGCUUUGCUUUUUUAAAUUAUGAUAACAGUAAAACUUCAGAUUUAUUUCCGUGUAAUUUUGAAAGUUUAUGUGAGAAUAGAUGGGGGCAGGCCUGUGUUAUUAGAGGAGACUGGUGAUAAAGAAGCAUUAUACCUCCAGGUAUAAUUGCAGUUUGGUAUGGUUGACAAGUGGUGACAUAGUGAUCUAAUUUACUACUUCAUUUAAGAAGUGCCUUGGUGGACUCAAGCCUUCAUUUGGCACAGGGGUACUUAUCAUUGCAAAACCACCAGUUUUUAGUUCAGUUGGGUGACUAGAUAGAACGUUCACUGUCUGUGGAAAUCAAAGGAACUUAUUUCCUGAAAGUUGAGGUGACCUGGGAGAUGCUUGAUAAAACUUUUAGGGGAACGUUUUCCAUUUUUUGUGAUGAGAACUAACAUUUUACUAAUUAUAAUUUUUAAAAGCUUUUAAAGUUAAUAUAAUAGUAGCUAUUUCUGGCAAGCGUUAGGACUAAACGUGAAUAUUUUGUAAUUGUAAAGAACCAACACCUAGUGUGAUUUGAUGUUGACUAGAAGAGAAAAUAAACACGUAAAGGACUGAGACUUUUUUGUAUGCUAAGAGAGUUAAGGAGGCAGCUUGUACUGGGGGAAGGGGGGGAGCCGGUAAUUCUGCUAGGUUUCUUUAAAAUGCUCUCCCAAAUCUGCCAAUCAUGUAAGCAUCACAGUAAGUAGCAUGUCUCUGUGUGUGUUCCAUUACAUCUUCUGUUGAAACUCUCUCUUUCACAGGCCUGACCACUUAAGCUGUCACGUAAAACAUGUCCAUUCAACAGAAAGACCCUUCAAAUGCCAAGUAAGAGUUAAAAUGACUUAUCCUUAGUGUAGCACUUAAUGCACAUUUUCCAGAAGGUGUGAGCCAAUCAAAUCUCCAGUUCUUGAAUAAUCUUAAAAUCACUGACUUGAGUAAAUGUGAUCCAUUUGAAUUUUAGUUUUAAUAUAAAUGACAACUUCUCUUUCUGUGAGACAAGAUCAUUUAAAAGUUUGAAUGCAUUGUUAUUGUUAAACUACACUUCCCUUUCCUUGGGCAACAGAAUUUUUUGUUAUGAGGAAAAAAAAUAUAUAGUCUUACAAAGGUCAUUAUGUAUUUGAAAUGAGUGGAAGAAUGAAGUGCUUUGAAUUUCUGGGUUGAUGGUUGAGGUUGUUUUAGUUUAAUAGGAGAAAAUAUUAGUUUUCUCCCAGAUGUUAUCGCUCAAUGAAUUUUUGUCUGCUAUUGCCAAAUUGGAGCAUUUUCUAGUUUGAAAAGCUAUUUGUUAAUGAUUUCAUUUGACAUAAGUUGUGACAAUGAAAAGGUUAAGAAUUUUGCUAAAUCAAAGGACUGUUUUAGGCAUCAGUAAUUCUAGUUUGUUGCUGGAAGUCUUUUUGUGCUCCUUUCAGCUAAGUUUGUUAAUGACUGAUCUUAUUAAGUAAAUGAUUUGAAUUCUAAGAAAAAUCCAGCUGAAGGGAGGAAGCUAAUGUUCAUUGAGUAAGUGCUUGUUACGUGCCAGGCCUUGGGCCAGGCUCUUUAUCCAGCAGCAGUCCUAUGAGGUAGGUAUUACUAUCCCCAUUUUACAGAAGAAGAAACGGAUUUCAGAGAGGUUAACCAACUUGUUCAAGGUUACACUGCUUAGUAAAUUGUAGAGCUGGAUUUAAACUCAGGUUUAACUGACUCUCACGCUCCCAUCUUUUCACUAGUCUGUGUUGUUAUGUUUUCCUCCCCUGAAAUAGAAGUGUCUAAAAUUCACCAAGUAUUUUGAAAUUUAUGAUUCUAAGUAACACAUGCCGUUAAAAUUCAAAUAGCCCAGUCCACUUACUGACAUGGGUAGGAUAAUGCAUAGAAUAUAACAUUUUAAAAUGAGUAGAACAGGAUAGUCUAUAUUUAAAAAAAGUUUUCCUCCCUCAUGCAGACAUGCACUGCUGCCUUUGCCACCAAAGACAGACUGCGGACACACAUGGUGCGCCACGAAGGCAAGGUAUCGUGUAAUAUCUGUGGGAAACUUCUGAGUGCAGCAUAUAUCACCAGCCACUUAAAGACACAUGGGCAGAGCCAAAGUAUCAACUGUAAUACAUGUAAACAAGGCAUCAAUAAAACUCUCUACGUAUUUUAUUAACUCAUCUGUUGUGACCAAUAUAAACACAAGCAGCAAAAAGAGAUGCACUAUAGUAAGAGCUAUCAAGUCAAAUGAGAAAGAGCUCAGAGGCGUGAGGAGUCAGAGUAUCUAAGUUUUGGAUUUUGAAAAAAUUGCCACACUUUUUCAAGGUAAAUGUCGUAUUUCUGGUUUGUCUUUGGAGUAGCAUGCAUGAGUGAAGAGACCAGCAACCAGAAGCAGCAGCAACAGCAGCAGCAACAGCAGCAACAACAUGUGACAAGUUGGCCAGGGAAGCAGGUAGAGACACUGAGACUGUGGGAAGAAGCUGUCAAAGCAAGGAAGAAAGGUAAGAUGAGGCUUCCAGUGGUCACGGUAUAGCUAGAUAAUUGUUUUAAUUUAGUAUGCCAAGUGAUCAAAGUAGAGAAACUAGAGCUUAGGGAAUCUGGCUUUGUGAAAACAUACAAAUGCUGUAUGCUGGGAAAUGUCUGGUAAAGUUUAGUUAUUGCCAACAAAGCUUCCAGGUAAGUUUUUAUUAGUAGAAAGUAAAAGUUCUCAGUACUUCUUAGCAGGUUCUUUGAUUUACUUUUUGUUUUAAAUUUGGAGACAAAUUUGGUCCUUUGCUUUGCUCAGAGUUCUAUUUUUGUUAUUCAUUUUGUUGUCGACAUCCCCAUAUUAUGGGCCUAUUUUCUUUUAAAGUAUUCGCACUUUUAGAGGUGGAUGAAAUAUCAUCCUUGUGUGUAUAUAAGUUCAUUUUCUUACUACUGUGUUAUGUUUUGCUCCUUUAGUAUCCUUUCUGCAUUGUAUUAUUUAUUACACUUUUCAGACUCUAUAGUGCUGACUUCUUUCCUUUUGGUCUCACCCUUAAUCUCCUCUGUCAUAGUUUAACAGGUUCUGUGCUUUUGCUGUUAGCGACUCCACUGUAAUUGUUACAAAAAUUGAGGAUGGUUUCCUUUUCUCUCUUGUAUGUGUGAUAAAGAAUCAGUUGGGGUAUCAGUUUUCAACAUAGCUUUUCGGCUUACUGGCUGCAGCUGUGGCUUCUGGUCUAUUGUGUACCUGUUUCAAAUAAGUCAUUUUGUCAAUGUGUCCUCAGCCAUAGGACAGAUUCCUAAAUCCUUCUCUCUUCUCCCACCCCUGCCAUGCUUUACUGUUGUAUUUUAAAUUCACAAGGAAUCCUCUGCAUAUAGGCUAUUCUGUAAUUCCUUUGCUGUGUAGUUUCUUCAUCUUUUGCUUUUAUGCAGUGUGACUGUUCCCUUCCUCAGAUCUCUUCUAAAUAUCCUGUGUUUGGAUAAACAUAAAAAGAAUAGCAUUCUUUUUCAUACAUCUGCUGGCACUGGAGGAAAAGAAUGAAGCAGUCCAGGUAGCCUUACCCCUGUUUCAGGUGCUGCUUGUUCCUACCUUCCAAAUGAAGAGUUGUCGUUAUUUUGAUAAAAAUAUUUUUUAGGGCUAUGAUAAUUAACAUAGUGGGUUGAAAGUGUAUUAUAGAGAAUGUUUUACUUAGAGGAAGAGUAAAAAUUUUUAACUAAGUCCUAGUAAAAGAAAAAAAAAACUGAUUGAAAAGAAAAUGCAGUGGAGAGGGGUGGGGGCUAGGCAGAGGCAGGCUGCAUGCUAGGGAGAGUGAAAACUCCUGUGGUGAAAGCAGAAGGAGAACAUCCUUAGCAAUGCUACCAUCACCUCAAAAGCGAGUUGGCUUUCUCUCUUGCUCUCUGUUUUCUUUCAGUGCGUUUCUAUUUGGUAUUGUGUUUCAGUUUGCUUGCACAAUAAGACUCAAUUGUUCAGCUCAUCUUCUGACCUCCAUGAAACAAAAUGCUAUUGUAUUCCUGUUGGUAGCAUGAAUCUCUCUGGAAAUGACCACUGAUGGGUAGCAUCUCUAUAUUCGUGUUAGUAGACCUCACAUCUUGAGGGAGAGGAGGCUCCUGGCUUGAAAACCUAAACUGUAAUCAGCAAUGUCCCUUUAAAUAUUGGGCCUAAUGUUAGAGUAAGAUAAUAUCAGUUCUCAAUCUGAAUCAUCUAGGGAGAUUUUUAAAAUACAGAUUUCUCAGGUCCCAUCUAAAUUUCACUAUUGAAUCUCAAAACUCCUUAGAUAGAUGAUUUUGAUCAUCAGCCAGAUUUGGAAAUCCUUGAUAUAUAGUAUCUGCCAAACAUAUAUUGACCAAGGAAGGGCUGCUUAUUGACUACUGAAUGACUCAGGCGUCCACCUGAGAUGAUUUGACCCACUGUGUAGGAGCGUGCAGACCUCAGUCUUUAAUCCCAAAUGCGUUUCUCCAUUUUGACAGCCAGGUCACAGCCAGCCCACCCCUUUGUCUCCACGCUGCCAUUUUUUUGGGUGGCAAACAGCAGGUGGUGGUGAAUUUUAUUUCAGGAUGAGGAUGUGGGUGUCACUUUUGAGGGAAGUUUUCUUUAAGAAGUACCAAGACUUUGCUGGAUAACAAGGACUAGGGGCCCCCAACUCACUGCAGGGUCUCCUUGCCUGGUUAGUCCUCCUUGGUAUGGUUGAUGGUGUGUAACAGGAGCAGUUAAAUUAUACUAGACAUAAAGUAGAUGAUUGUGUUAACCAGAAGGAGAAGAGGAAAUGGGAGUGGGGAGGAGAACACAAAGCUACUGAGGAGUAUUUUUUCUUUCUUAACAUCAUUAAGAAACAUAACCAGAAACAACAGGACUAUUUAGCGAGAGCAUUUUUUCUAAGACUGAAAUAAGCAGGUGAUAAUAAAAUAGCUUGCUUCUCGAUCCCUAGUUAUGAAUUUUUAAAACCUUAACAGAAUGUGGCUUCACCUCUGAGAGGACUUUAGAGCACAUACCAUUGAGUAUGCACACCUCUCUCUGCUAGUUAUAGUGUGCCUUAUGAGAAGAUUUCUCUGAUUAUAUGUUAUUGUGUAACCAUUGGCUCAACUCUGUGUAAACAAGCUCUUUUCUCCUGCUGGUGGUUGGCUCUUCCCAGGAGAAUGUUUAGAAUUCAGAGGAACUGCAUGAAGUAGUAAGUAGUAAGACUACUUAGCCAUACUUGGUACCUCUGUCCCCCACUCCCCAGAGUGCCUUGCAGAAGUUAACUUGUCUUCCCAGUUUCACUGUGAGGUAGGUAAGUAAAUUUGAACUUCAUACCAAAAGUGCAAGGCUAAACACGUCGCCUCAGUUCUUGCAGGAGGUAUAGCAUCAGAAAGGAGAUUCACACACUGGGGUUCCUGGCCCCUAGUCUUGUGUCAGACAGCUCUUCCCUUCCUGUGGACCACUUGGUUGAAAACUGUAAUUUAAUUUAUUACAUGUUUGUCCUUUUUAAUUAAAAGCAGUUGAUUCAGAAACUCUUUGUGAAUUUUGUUCACUGUUAUGAGAGUCUAAA